RNAcentral lists this ribosomal RNA (460 nucleotides) under uncultured bacterium. RNAcentral's name for it is "partial 16S ribosomal RNA". It matches the Rfam family "Bacterial small subunit ribosomal RNA", at positions 338 to 795 of the family's 1533-position model. The record is from RNAcentral.
CCUACGGGUGGCAGCAGUGAGGAAUAUUGGUCAAUGGGCGCGAGCCUGAACCAGCCAAGUAGCGUGAAGGAUGACUGCCCUACGGGUUGUACACUUCUUUUAUAAAGGAAUAAAGUGAGGCACGUGUGCCUUUUUGUAUGUACUUUAUGAAUAAGGAUCGGCUAACUCCGUGCCAGCAGCCGCGGUAAUACGGAGGAUCCGAGCGUUAUCCGGAUUUAUUGGGUUUAAAGGGAGCGUAGAUGGGUUGUUAAGUCAGUUGUGAAAGUUUGCGGCUCAACCGUAAAAUUGCAAUUGAUACUGGCAGCCUUGAGUACAGUUGAGGUAGGCGGAAUUCGUGGUGUAGCGGUGAAAUGCUUAGAUAUCACGAAGAACUCCGAUUGCGAAGGCAUCUCACGAAUCCGCGAUUGACGCUGAUGCACGAAAGCGUGGGUAUCAAACAGGAUUAGAUACCCCUGUAGUC